This 320-nucleotide ribosomal RNA is filed under the name uncultured eukaryote. RNAcentral's name for it is "partial 18S ribosomal RNA". It matches the Rfam family "Eukaryotic small subunit ribosomal RNA", at positions 1470 to 1796 of the family's 1831-position model. The record is from RNAcentral.
CCCCUAGAUGUUCUGGGCCGCACGCGCGCUACACUGAACAGUUCAACAAGUCUUAACCUUGGCCGAUAGGUCUGGGUAAUCUUUGAACGCUGUUCGUGAUUGGGAUAGACCUUUGCAAUUAUGGGUCUUCAACGAGGAAUUCCUAGUAAACGCAAGUCAUCAGCUUGCAUUGAUUACGUCCCUGCCCUUUGUACACACUGCCCGUCGCACCUACCGAUUGAAUGGUCCGGUGAAAUCUCGGGACGGCGGCUUGGUCGCUUGCGUCCGACUGCUGAAACUUGAUUAAACCAUAUCAUUUAGAGGAAGGUGAANUCGUANCA